GAAAUCAUAGUAUAAAUUUAGUAUAUUUAAUUGCAAAUUAAAGGGUAUUGAUUUUU
This 56-nucleotide transfer RNA is filed under the name Caenorhabditis angaria. RNAcentral describes it as "tRNA-Cys". The record is from RNAcentral. Lineage: Eukaryota; Metazoa; Nematoda; Chromadorea; Rhabditida; Rhabditidae. RNAcentral also lists the same sequence under 1 other name.